This 295-nucleotide long non-coding RNA is filed under the name Musa acuminata (dwarf banana). RNAcentral describes it as "long non-coding RNA (MACU_LNC002576)". The record is from RNAcentral. Lineage: Eukaryota; Viridiplantae; Streptophyta; Magnoliopsida; Zingiberales; Musaceae.
CAACACAUUUGAUUCAAGUCUUCCUUGAGAUCAUAAAUCUCACUAACAAAUAUUUUGUUUUUUUUUCAUCGAUCGUAAUACAAGGUAUGCGAUACUACCAUCGCUUCGGUACAAUAAUACUCGACAUAACAACAGAAUAAUAUGCACAUCGCUUCGGUACAAUAAUACUCGACAUAACAACAGAAUAAUAUGCACAGCUUACGCGACUCUUAUACCCCACGAUCCGCAAUAAAGUUUUGCUGACAAACCUACAUGCAACCAUCAAUUCUUUUGGAAUUCACAUGUUAUGGGGACC